GAACUUUGACGAAUUAUCCACAUGAAUGUUAUUAUUCUCUGCUUUCAAACUUUCACUUUUGAUAAAGGUUUGAAUUCUAAAAGCUAAAGUAGGAUUUAAUUUCUGAAUAAAAAAUGGAUGAGGAUAUGAACGUAGGAAUAUCUUUUCUAUGCUUUAUUUUGGCAAGACACACGUAAAUUACAGUCAAGUUUUCCUUGUUAUACCUUUUGAUGCGUG
RNAcentral lists this long non-coding RNA (216 nucleotides) under Phaseolus vulgaris (common bean). RNAcentral's name for it is "long non-coding RNA (PVUL_LNC002363)". The record is from RNAcentral. Lineage: Eukaryota; Viridiplantae; Streptophyta; Magnoliopsida; Fabales; Fabaceae.